GGAUCCAGCAAAACGACGGCGUUUAGUUCACCUCCGAUUCGUGAAGGAUCAUCGAGAGGGUUUUGCAGAGGUUUACGCAGAACAACCAAAAACCUGGCGAAGCGCAGCAGACUUUCGAAUUCAAUUUCAGUCCCACCAUGAGAAAGGCUUCAAUUUCACUUCUCUCCCACUCCAAUCGCCUGAAUCUCCGCUCCAUUUCAUCCCUCAUUUCCGAUCCUCCCCCUUCUCCCCCUCCUUCUUCAUCUCCUCUCUCCGCCGCCCAUCUCAACCCCUGCUCCAAAUCCCAUGGCCUGUUCUUCAAACUCACCCGCUUCCAAGCAAACCCAUGUCGGAAUUUGGACACCCUUGUGGAGAAACGCCCUCAAAUUUCAUCCAGACAGAGGAAAAUCAAAGAGAAGUCCGAGCUGGAGGAGGCUUUUGAGUCUGCAAACACUGUCGAUGAAAUGCUCAGCGCGUUCAAAGACAUGGAAUCCGCUUUUGAAGAGAGGGAUCUUGGAUUGGCUUCCUUGAAAAUUGGUCUGAAACUUGACCAAGAAGGUGAGGACCCUGAAAAGACUCUGUUGUAUGCUUCUAGAGCUUUGAAAGCUUUGGACAAUGAUGAUAAUGGUGGUAAACCUUCUCUACUUGUUGCUAUGACUUUGCAAUUGAUGGGUUCUGUUAAUUAUAGCUUGAAAAAGUUUAGUGAUAGUUUAGGGUACCUGAAUAGGGCUAAUAGGGUACUGAGUCAGUUAGAGGAGAAGGGGUUUAGUGCUGCUGAGGAUAUUAGACCUGUGCUUCAUGCUGUGCAACUUGAGUUGGCAAAUGUUAAGACUGCAAUGGGGAGAAGAGAAGAAGCUCUUGGUAAUCUUAGGAAGUGUUUGGAGAUCAAGGAGUUGACCUUGGAGAAGGAUAGUAGAGAAUUAGGGAAGGCGAAUCGUGAUUUGGCGGAAGCUUAUGUUGCUAUUUUGAACUUCAGGGAUGCGCUUCCGUUUUGUAUGAAGGCAUUGGAGAUACAUAAGAUGCAGUUGGGGCAUAAUUCAGUUGAAGUAGCCCAUGAUAGGAGGCUUCUAGGGGUGAUUUAUACUGGGUUGGACGAACAUGAGAAGGCAUUGGAGCAGAAUGAAUUGUCUCAGAAGGUUUUGAAGAACUGGGGCCUUAAUUCCGAUUUGCUUUGUGCGGAAAUUGAUGCUGCUAAUAUGCAAAUUGCCCUGGGUCGGUACGAUGAAGCCAUUAGUACUCUCAAGGAUGUUGCUCAACGUACAGAUAAAGACAGUGAAACUCGGGCAGUGGUGUUUAUCUCAAUGGGAAAAGUGUUGUGUAAUCAGGAAAAGUUUACUGAUGCAAAGAGAUGUUUGGAGAUUGCUAGUGGAAUUUUUGACAAGAAAGAAGCAACUUCUCCAGUGGAGGCUGCUGAGGCGUAUUCAGAAAUAUCGAUGCAAUAUGAGACAAUGAAUGAGUUUGAAACUGCGAUUUCUUUAUUGAAAAGAUCUCUAGCUGUGCUCGAGAAACUUCCACAAGAGCAACACUCAGAGGGUAGUGUUUCAGCUAGAAUAGGGUGGUUACUACUGUUGACCGGUAAGGUUCAAGAAGCUAUUCCAUACUUGGAGGGUGCAGCAGAGACUUUGAAGGAGAGUUUUGGUUCCAAGCAUUUUGGAGUUGGAUAUAUAUACAAUAACCUCGGGGCAGCAUAUCUAGAGCUCGAGAGACCUCAAUCGGCCGCGCAGAUGUUUGCAAUGGCAAAGGACAUUAUGGACGUAUCACUUGGCCCUCAUCAUGCAGAUUCAAUUGAAUCAUGUCAGAAUCUUUCAAAAGCAUAUGGUGCAAUGGGAAGUUAUGCCCUUGCAAUUGAUUUCCAAGAGCAAGUGGUUGAUGCUUGGGAAAGCCAUGGCUCAAGUGCAGAAGAUGAACUUAAAGAAGCCCAACGGAUGCUUGAACAAUUAAAGAGGAAAGCACACGGUACGUCAAAACCCGAGCUUUCGACGAAGGCCUUGCCACUACCUCAUUCCCCAACAUCUUCCAAAAGUUUGCAGCCCAAUAUUCCCGGCAGUCAGAAGCAACUAUAGCCGCAACACAGUAAAUCUGAUAAGCUAUUUUACAACUCCAGAUAAGUCGAUAGAUCGGGUCACACCUCUCAGUAUUCGGCUAUACUGAAACACACUGGACUCCCAACUUCCAACUUUCCAAUGGCCAUUCAUUGCUACAACUCUCAUUUUAUGCUCUGAAAACCCGCACGCAAAACGAGAAAGAUGGAACCUUGCUCAAAGGCGGUUCAUUGAGUCGGUCAUUUUCGAAUGUGAAUGAUAUCAUUUAGAGCAACUAGACUGAAGGUGACGUCUCGGGCUGGUAAGAUUUUACGCGUUGUAUUGAAUUAAAUUACACGCUCGACACCGGAACGGAUAAUAUUCGAGAUUAUGCGGGACUAUACACAAAAGAUCCUUUUUUGGAUAAAGAUGUGGCUCUCCUCCCGAUAACUUCCCAAC
RNA transcript from Momordica charantia (bitter melon), 2459 nucleotides. It is a transcript of the gene named Tetratricopeptide repeat (TPR)-like superfamily protein, with no coding region annotated. Lineage: Eukaryota; Viridiplantae; Streptophyta; Magnoliopsida; Cucurbitales; Cucurbitaceae. The record is from RefSeq and is a predicted model, not a curated record.